Molecule: ribosomal RNA, 253 nt
Filed under: uncultured bacterium
Lineage: Bacteria
Description: partial 16S ribosomal RNA
Rfam family: Bacterial small subunit ribosomal RNA
Source: RNAcentral
UACGUAGGGGGCUAGCGUUGUCCGGAAUCAUUGGGCGUAAAGCGCGUGUAGGCGGUCCGGUAAGUCCGCUGUGAAAGUCGAGGGCUCAACCCUCGAAUGCCGGUGGAUACUGUCGGGCUAGAGUGCGGAAGAGGCGACUGGAAUUCCUGGUGUAGCGGUGAAAUGCGCAGAUAUCAGGAGGAACACCGAUGGCGAAGGCAGGUCUCUGGGCAUUAACUGACGCUGAGGAGCGAAAGCAUGGGGAGCGAACAGG